AUGUUUUUCCGGUAAACGAUAAAACAACUGCAAGAUGGCAGAGAUCGGUCAGGACGAGCUGAAAAAGCUCGAAUAUUUGUCUUUGGUGUCUAAAGUUUGUACAGAAUUGGACACUCAUUUAAGAAUUAACGAUAAGGACCAUGCUGAAUUUGUAAUCAGUCUUGCUGAGAAAAA
Long non-coding RNA from Xyrauchen texanus (razorback sucker), 174 nucleotides. RefSeq lists it as uncharacterized. The record is from RefSeq and is a predicted model, not a curated record. The transcript is spliced from 2 exons. Lineage: Eukaryota; Metazoa; Chordata; Actinopteri; Cypriniformes; Catostomidae.